UUUGUAUGAUGAUUACAAAAGGUUUCGCAAUUUGCUGAAUUCCACAGUGACGAAAAACCUUGGCUGUCUGAUUAA
Drosophila hydei is the source of this 75-nucleotide small nucleolar RNA. RefSeq annotates it as small nucleolar RNA SNORD53/SNORD92. The transcript has a single exon. NCBI's taxonomy places the organism in Eukaryota, Metazoa, Arthropoda, Insecta, Diptera, Drosophilidae. The record is from RefSeq and is a predicted model, not a curated record.